AGUGAACGCUGGCGGUAGGCCUAACACAUGCAAGUCGAACGGCAGCACAGUAAGAGCUUGCUCUUACGGGUGGCGAGUGGCGGACGGGUGAGGUAUACAUCGGAAUCUACUUUUUCGUGGGGGUUAACGUAGGGAAACUUACGCUAAUACCGCAUACGCCCUACGGGUGAAAGCAGGGGAUCUUCGGACCUUGCGCGAUUGAAUGAGCCGAUUUCGGAUUAGCUAGUUGGCGGGGUAAAGGCCCACCAUGGCGACGAUCCGUAGCUGGUCUGAGAGGAUGGUAGGCGACACGGGAGCGGAGACGCGGUCCAGACUCCUACGGGAGGCAGCAGUGGGGAAUAUUGGACAAUGGGCGCAAGCCUGAUCCAGCCAUACCGCGUGGGUGAAGAAGGCCUUCGGGUUGUAAAGCCCUUUUGUUGGGAGAGAAAAGCAGCAGGUUAAUACCCCGCUGUUCUGACGGUACCCAAAGAAUAAGCACCGGCUAACUUCGUG
RNAcentral lists this ribosomal RNA (492 nucleotides) under uncultured bacterium. RNAcentral's name for it is "partial 16S ribosomal RNA". It matches the Rfam family "Bacterial small subunit ribosomal RNA", at positions 29 to 507 of the family's 1533-position model. The record is from RNAcentral.